Molecule: ribosomal RNA, 460 nt
Filed under: uncultured bacterium
Lineage: Bacteria
Description: partial 16S ribosomal RNA
Rfam family: Bacterial small subunit ribosomal RNA
Source: RNAcentral
CCUACGGGAGGCAGCAGUGAGGAAUAUUGGUCAAUGGACGAGAGUCUGAACCAGCCAAGUAGCGUGAAGGAUGACUGCCCUAUGGGUUGUAAACUUCUUUUAUAUGGGAAUAAAAUGUUCCACGUGUGGGAUUUUGUAUGUACCCUAUGAAUAAGGAUCGGCUAACUCCGUGCCAGCCGCCGCGGUAAUACGGAGGAUCCGAGCGUUAUCCGGAUUUAUUGGGUUUAAAGGGAGCGUAGGUGGAUUGUUAAGUCAGUUGUGAAAGUUUGCGGCUGAACCGCAAAAUUGCAGUUGAAACUGGCAGUCUUGAGUACAGUAGAGGUGGGCGGAAUGCGUGGUGUAGCGGUGAAAUGCUUAGAUAUCACGAAGAACUCCGAUUGCGAAGGCAGCUCACUGGACUGCAACUGACACUGAGGCUCGAAAGUGUGGGUAUCAAACAGGAUUAGAUACCCUAGUAGUC